This 524-nucleotide ribosomal RNA is filed under the name uncultured bacterium. RNAcentral's name for it is "bacterial SSU rRNA". It matches the Rfam family "Bacterial small subunit ribosomal RNA", at positions 355 to 896 of the family's 1533-position model. The record is from RNAcentral.
UGGGGAAUAUUGCACAAUGGGGGAAACCCUGAUGCAGCGACGCCGCGUGAGUGAAGAAGUAUUUCGGUAUGUAAAGCUCUAUCAGCAGGGAAGAUAAUGACAGUACCUGACUAAGAAGCCCCGGCUAACUACGUGCCAGCAGCCGCGGUAAUACGUAGGGGGCAAGCGUUAUCCGGAUUUACUGGGUGUAAAGGGAGCGUAGACGGAGUGGCAAGUCUGAAGUGAAAACCCUGGGCUCAACCUGGGGACUGCUUUGGAAACUGUUAAUCUAGAGUGUUGGAGAGGUAAGUGGAAUUCCUGGUGUAGCGGUGAAAUGCGUAGAUAUCAGGAAGAACACCGGAGGCGAAGGCGGCUUACUGGACAAUAACUGACGAUGAGGCUCGAAAGCGUGGGGAUCAAACAGGAUUAGAUACCCUGGUAGUCCACGCUGUAAACGAUGAAUACUAGGUGUCGGGGAGCAAAGCUUCUCGGUGCCGUCGCAAACGCAAUAAGUAUUCCACCUGGGGAGUACGUUCGCAAGAAUG